This 1509-nucleotide ribosomal RNA is filed under the name Ralstonia sp. RNAcentral's name for it is "partial 16S ribosomal RNA". It matches the Rfam family "Bacterial small subunit ribosomal RNA". Lineage: Bacteria; Pseudomonadati; Pseudomonadota; Betaproteobacteria; Burkholderiales; Burkholderiaceae. The record is from RNAcentral.
CACGCGUAGAGUUAGAUUUUGGUUCUGAUUGAGCGCUGGCGGCAUGCGCAUGCCUUGCACGUCGAACGGCAGCAUGAUCUAGCGUGCUAUCUUGAUGGCGAGUGGCGAACGGGUGAGUAAUACAUCGGAACGUGCCCUGUAGUGGGGGAUAACUCGUCGAAAGAUUAGCUAAUACCGCAUACGAUCUGAGGAUGAAAGCAGGGGAUCGCAAGACCUCAUGCUAUAGGAGCGGCCGAUGUCUGAUUAGCUAGUUGGUGAGGUAAAGGCUCACCAAGGCGACGAUCAGUAGCUGGUCUGAGAGGACGAUCAGCCACACUGGGACUGAGACACGGCCCAGACUCCUACGGGAGGCAGCAGUGGGGAAUUUUGGACAAUGGGCGAAAGCCUGAUCCAGCAAUGCCGCGUGCAGGAAGAAGGCCUUCGGGUUGUAAAGCGCUUUUGUCCGGAAAGAAACGGCUCUGUUUAAUACAGGGGGUUGAUGACGGUACCGGAAGAAUAAGCACCGGCUAACUACGUGCCAGCAGCCGCGGUAAUACGUAGGGUGCAAGCGUUAAUCGGAAUUACUGGGCGUAAAGCGUGCGCAGGCGGUUAUGCAAGACCGAUGUGAAAUCCCCGGGCCCAUUUUGGGAACUGCAUCGGUGACUGCGUUGCUAGAGUACGGCAUAGGGGGGUAGAAUUCCACGUGUAGCAGUGAAAUGCGUAGAGAUGCGGAGGAACACCGAUGGCGAAGGCAGCCCCCUGGACCAGCACUGACGCUCAUGCACGAAAGCGUGGGGAGCAAACAGGAUUAGAUACCCUGGUAGUCCACGCCCUAAACGAUGUCAACUAGUUGUUGGGGAUUCACUUCCUUAGUAACGAAGCUAACGCGUGAAGUUGACCGCCUGGGGAGUACGGUCGCAAGAUUAAAACUCAAAGGAAUUGACGGGGACCCGCACAAGCGGUGGAUGAUGUGGAUUAAUUCGAUGCAACGCGAAAAACCUUACCUACCCUUGACAUGCCACUAACUAACCAGAGAUGCAUUAGGUGCCCAAAAAAAACAGUAAACACAGGUGCUGCAUGGCUGUCACCAGCUCGUGCCGUAAAAUGUUGGGUUAAUCCCCGCAACGAGCGCAACCCUUGUCUCUAUUUGCUACUAAAGGUCACUCUACAAAUACUGCCGGUGACAAACCGCAGGAAGAUGGGGAUGACGUCAAGUCCUCAUGGCCCUUAUGUGUAGGGCUUCACACAUCAUACAAAGAUGCAUACAUACGAAUGCCUACCCACCAGCUGGAGCUAAUCCCACACAAUGCAUCGUACUCCGGAUCGAACUCUGCAACUCAACUACCUGAAUCUGGAAUCACUCGCAAUCACGCAUCAAUAUGACUCGCUGAAUACAUUCCUGCCCCUUCACGCACCGCCCGUCAGACCAUGCAAGUGAGCUUUACCUGAAGUAAUUAGCUUACUCACACGCAGGGCGAUUAACUACCUAGGCUUCAUUCCUGACUGGAAUCAUACCAAGAAAACCGUAAA